UAGUAGCGGCGAGUGAAGCGGCAAAAGCUCAAAUUUGAAAUCUGGCGCCUUCGGUGUCCGAGUUGUAAAUUUGAAGAUUGUAACCUUGGGGUUGGCUCUUGUCUAUGUUUCUUGGAACAGGACGUCACAGAGGGUGAGAAUCCCGUGCGAUGAGAUGCCCAAUUCUAUGUAAGGUGCUUUCGAAGAGUCGAGUUGUUUGGGAAUGCAGCUCUAAGUGGGUGGUAAAUUCCAUCUAAAGCUAAAUAUUGGCGAGAGACCGAUAGCGAACAAGUACAGUGAUGGAAAGAUGAAAAGAACUUUGAAAAGAGAGUGAAAAAGUACGUGAAAUUGUUGAAAGGGAAGGGUUUGAGAUCAGACUCGAUAUUUUGUGAGCCUUGCCUUCGUGGCGGGGUGACCCGCAGCUUAUCGGGCCAGCAUCGGUUUGGGCGGUAGGAUAAUGGCGUAGGAAUGUGACUUUACUUCGGUGAAGUGUUAUAGCCUGCGUUGAUGCUGCCUGCCUAGACCGAGGACUGCGAUUUUAUCAAGGAUGCUGGCAUAAUGAUCCCAAACCGCCC
This 554-nucleotide ribosomal RNA is filed under the name Meyerozyma guilliermondii. Its description in RNAcentral is "partial large subunit ribosomal RNA". It matches the Rfam family "Eukaryotic large subunit ribosomal RNA", at positions 81 to 650 of the family's 3401-position model. The record is from RNAcentral. Lineage: Eukaryota; Fungi; Ascomycota; Pichiomycetes; Serinales; Debaryomycetaceae.